GUUCAAAUGAGAAAAGGCUUACAGUGGAUACCUAGGCACCCAGAGACGAGAAACAGCGUAGUAAGCGACAAAAUGCUCUAAGGAGUUGAAAAUAAGCAUAGAUUCGGAGAUUCCCAAAUAGGUCAACCUUUCGAAUUACUGUUGAAUCCAUGGGCAAGCAAGAGGCAACUUGGCGAACUAAAACAUCUUAGUAGCCAAAGAAAAAGAAAGCAAAAGUGAUUCCCGUAGUAGCAGCAAGUGAAAUGGGAGCAGCCUAAACCGUGAAAACCAGGUUGUGGGAGAGCAAUACAAACGUCAUGCUACUAGGCGAAGCAACGAAAUAUUGCACCCUAGAUGGCGAGAGUCUAGUAUCCAAAAGCAUCACUAGCUUAUGCUCUAACCUGAGUAGCAUGGGGCAUAUGGAAUCCCAUGUGAAUCAGCAAGAACCACCUUGAAAGGCUAAAUACUCUUAGGUGACCGAUAGCGAACUAGUACCGUGAGAGAAGGAUGAAAAGAACCCCCAUUGGGGAGUGAAAUAGAACAUGAAACCGUAAGUUCACAAGCAAUGGAAGGAAAUUGAGGCUUUAACCAUGUGCCUAUUGAAGAAUGAGUCGACGAUUUAUAGGCAGUGGCUUAGGUUAGGGAACCCACUAGAGUCUUAGCAAAAGAGAGUCUUCAUAAGGCAAUUGUCACUACUUAUGGACCUGAACCUGGGUGAUCUAUCCAUGACCAGGAUGAAGCUUGGGUGAAACUAAGUGGAGGUACAAACCGAAUGAUCUUGAAGAAUCAUCGGAUAAGUUGUGGUUAGGGGUGAAAUGCCACUUGAACCCAAAACUAGCUGGUUAUCCCUAAAAUGGGUUGAGGCGCAGCGGUUGGCUGGACAUUUAGGGGUAAAGCACUAGUUCUGUGCAGGCGACGAGAGCGAUACCAAAUCGAGGCAAACUUUGAAUACUAGAUUCGGCCUCAGAAUGUCAAGGUCAACCAAUGAGACGAUGGAGGAUAAGCUUCAUCGUCGAUAGGAAAACAACCCGGAUCACCAACUAAGGCCUCUAAAUGACCGCUCAGUGAUAAAGGAGGUAGGGGUGCAUAGACAGCCAGGAGGUUUACCUAGAAGCAUUCACCCUUGAAAGAGUGCGUAAUAGCUCACUGAUUGAGCACUCUUACACCGAAGAUGGACGAGGUUAAGCAAUUUGCCGAAGCUGUGGGAUAUAAAAAGUAAAAAUGUAUUGGUAAGGGAGCGUUCUUCCUCAAAGGGAAACACUCAUACGAGCAAGUGUGUGGACGAAGUGGAGGCGAGAAAGUUGGCUUGAGUAAUACAAACAUUGGUGAGAAUCCAAUGCCUCGAAAACUUAAGGAUUCCUCCACAAAGUUCAUCCACGGAGGGUGAGUCAGGGCCUAAGAUUAGGCCGAAAGGCAUAGUCGAUGGGCAACAAGUUAAUAUUCCUAUACUAUCCUUUAUUGCUCUUGAGAGACGGAGAAGGCUAGGUGAUGCGACUCAUGGUAGCUUAGCUUUAAAGGCAUAUCAACAAAAUUUAUACCUUAAAUACUAUUACUAAAGUAGCCAAACUACUAUAGCAUAGUUGGUUCUAAGAUCGUUCACUGGGAAGGGUUUUCGCAAACACAAGUGAUAUUCAAAUUAGGAAAAUAGGUGAUUUUCUUAUGGAUGUUAGCUUUAAAAGAAGAUGUAAAUGUUUUAGAAAGAUUUAAACUAAUCUAAGCUAACAUUAAAGACUAAAAUGAAAGGGUGUAAAAACAAGUUUCUCAAAGAUAGGAUAGCUAUGCUCUGGCUCUUAUGCAAAUUGGAAAUCUCAGGAUAGGCUCCUCGCGUUGGGGUUGCAACUAUGGUGAUGCUUGCUUCCCGAACCGGUAUGGAUUUAGAAAAUCAAGUUUUAAUCCUUUAAAAUGGCAAAACAGAUGGUGGUGAAUUUCAUCAAUGGUUAUUCACCUUAGACUUCCUUUGAAUGGCUCGUAAGAGAUAACUAAUGGUCUAAAGCCAAAAGUUUACCAAAUAUUGGCAACUCAAAGUCAUUCCAAGUGAUAAACUCACCUUUCAAUGGCCAUUGAAAUUGGUUCUAACGGAUUAAUGCAAAACUUGGAAUUGAAAACCUCACCUUCCAAUAGCUCGUAGGAGAUAACUAAUGGAUAGAAAUCCAAAAGCUUAUCAAGUAUUGGCCGUUGGAAGUUGUCCAAAGGAAAUAAAAACCAAACUUUGCAUUAAUGAACCAUUAAUGAAAAACGACUACCUUACCUUUCGGGUGCAAGAAAUUUCCAUGGGAUUGCAUCCAAGCCAUCACAUAACAUCCAUACUUUGAGAAACUAAAAGUUUUAGCCAAUCAUCCUCUGAGGAAAAGCCCUCAGAGGCUGUUUGGCUUCCAAGAAAAUAAAAUAGUAAAGAGAAAAGAGAAACGAGAGAGCUCUGUAUAUAUUCUAAGUGUAAAACGUAAUAUAUCUUCUAUAUUCCAAGAGGUGAUUUCCACCCCUUAUAUAGUCUUUACAAAAGCAAAAGCUUGUGAUUGGUUAGUUACAAGGAUAAGAAAGGAAAUUACAUCACAAAAUACAAAGGAAAAUAUCUAAAGUGGAGUUGGCAAAAGCAGAGGAAAAUUCGCAACACGCAUGGGUUAUGCGAAUUUUGAAGGUGUUAUGCGAAUUUCGCAUAACACCUUGUGUUAUGCGAAAUUUUCGCAUAACCUGGAGCAGUUGGCUUCCGAAGGCCAUAUCUUCCUCAUUUCAACUCCAAAUCAUGUACGGUUUGAAGCGUUGGAUUCUUGACUUCCAGAGCUUUGAAAUGUUAUAUAGUAUGUAAAAAAUGGACUUCAGGAAGUGCUCCAAAAGUGUGAAAGAAGACUGAAGCUGCUGUCCUCUGUUUUCCUCUUCUCCAUUGUUCUUUCCUUGCAUACUUUGAACGACUUUGGCAAAGGGAUAUGGAGCUCCAAAGCUUGGUUCUUCAUGAAUUUGAGCUUCCAAAAGCUUUUCCAUAACUUGUCCAAGUAGCUCCUCCAUCAUUUGGCAUGCUUGAAUUGGUUCAUAAGCUGAUAAAAACAUGUAAACUUGCCACAAAAUGGUUAAAGCCAAUUACUAAGGACCUUAAUGAAUUAAUUGGGUUAAAUGAAUAUGAUUACUACUCAAAGGUGCUUAAAACCAUUAUAAUUAGGUCUACAAAAUAGCACUUUUUGGUAGUAAUCACUAGGUUAGCUAAAAGAUGGUUAUUGAUUUAAGGGCGCAAGGUGACCCUACUUUUUCAAGGUAAUAAUGGGUAGAGAAAAUGCCUCGAGCCAAUGUUCGAGUACCAGGCACUACGACGCCAAAGUAAUCCAUGCCAUACUCCUAGGAAAAGCUUCAACAAAAGGGUACCUGUACCUGAAAUCGACACAGGUGGGUAGGUAGAGAAUACCUAGGGAUGCGAGACAACUCUCUCUAAAGAACUCGACAAAUAGCCCCGUAACUUUAGGAGAAAGGGUGUCUUCUCACAAAAGGGGUUGCAGUGACCAGGCUCGAGCAAUUGUUUACUAAAAAUAAAGGUCUCAGAAAAAUCGUAAGACCAUGUAUGGAGGCUAACGCUUGCCUAAUGCCAGAAGGUCAAGGAAGUUGGCAACCUUAUGAUAAGAGAGCUGGUGAUCGUAACUAUAACGGUCCUAAAGUAGCAAAAUUCCUUGUCGGGUAAGUUCUGACCCGCACAAAAGGCAUAACGAUCUGAGCACUGUCUCAGAGAAAGGCUCGGUGAAAUAAAGAUGUUUGUGAAGAUGAGGACUACCUGCACCUGAAUAGAAAGACCCUAUGAAGCUUCACUGUUCCCUAGGAUUGGCUUUGGGUCUUUCCUGCGCAGUUUAGGUGGAGAGCAAAAAAGGCCUCCUUUUGCUAGGAGGGGGAGGAGCCGAUCCAUUAGUGAAAUACCACUCUGGAAAAGCUAGAAUUCUAACAUUAUGUCAGGACCUACGGGCCAAAUGACAGUCUUAGGUAGAUAGAUUCUAUGAGGCAUAAGCCUCUCAAAAGGUAACGGAAGCAUGCAAAGGUUUCCUCAAGUCGAACGAAUAUUGGCCAUCGAGUGCAAAGACAGAAGGGAGCUUGACUACAAGGCCCACCCGUCGAGCAGAGACGAAAGUCAGCUUUAGUGAUUCAACGGUGCCGAGUGGAAGAGCCAUUGCUCAACGGAUAAAAGUUACUCUAGGGAUAACAAACUGAUCUUCCCUAAGAGCUCACAUCGACGGGAAGGUUUGGCACCUCGAUGUCGGUUCUUCGCUAGUUGGGGUUGUAGUAUGUUCCAAGGGUUGGGUUGUUCAUCCAUUAAAGCGAUACAUGAACUAGGUUCAGAACAUCAUCAGACAGUUCGGUCCAUAUCCGGUGUGAGCGUUAAAGCAUUGAGAGGACAUUUCCCUAGUACGAGAGGACCGAGAAGAAUGCACCUCUGGUGUACCAGUUAUCAUGCCCACAAUAAAAGCUAGGUAGCCAAGUGUGGAACAGAUAACUAUUGAAAUCACCUAAGUAGUAAGCCCGCCCUAAGAUGAAUGUUUUCUUAUUCUGACUUCCUUAAAGCCACCGGUAACACAGUCGAGACAGCGAUGGGUUCUCUGCCCCAAUGGGGAUGGAGCGACAAGUUUUGAGAAUUCAAGAGAAGGUCACGGCGAGACAAGUCAUUUAUCAUUAUGAUAGGUGUCCAGUGGAAAUGCAGUGAUGUAUGCAGUUGAGGCAUCCUAAUAGACCGGUAGACUUGAACCU
Molecule: ribosomal RNA, 4692 nt
Organism: Vitis vinifera (wine grape)
Lineage: Eukaryota; Viridiplantae; Streptophyta; Magnoliopsida; Vitales; Vitaceae
Rfam family: Bacterial large subunit ribosomal RNA
Source: Rfam